RNAcentral lists this ribosomal RNA (461 nucleotides) under uncultured bacterium. RNAcentral's name for it is "bacterial SSU rRNA". It matches the Rfam family "Bacterial small subunit ribosomal RNA", at positions 9 to 480 of the family's 1533-position model. The record is from RNAcentral.
GAGUUUGAUCCUGGCUCAGGGUUAACGCUGGCGGCGCGCCUAACACAUGCAAGUCGAGCGAGGGCUCUUCUCCCGCAAGGGAGGGGAGUUCCUAGCGGCGAACGGGGUGAGUAACACGUGGGCAACCUGUCCUCUCGCGGGGGAUAACACCGGGAAACCGGUGCUAAUACCGCAUGUCAUCGCUGGUCGCAUGGCCGGUGAGAAAAGCAGCAAUGCACGAGAGGGUGGGCCCGCGGCCUAUCAGUUAGUUGGUGGGGUAACGGCCUACCAAGGCUUUGACGGGUAGCUGGUCUGAGAGGACGACCAGCCACACGGGGGACUGAGACACGGCCCCGACUCCUACGGGAGGCAGCAGUGAGGAAUCUUCCGCAAUGGGCGCAAGCCUGACGGAGCGACGCCGCGUGUGGGAUGAAGUCCCUGGAUGUAACCACUGUCGGAGGGAAGGAACACAGACGGUACCC